AACUUCCGGCGUCCGUCGGGCAGCAGCGGGGCUGUCUAUCCCGGCUGAGGACCCGCGGCCAGUGCGGGUGGCUGGCUUUGCCAUUAGCGGGGGCCUUUCCUGAGGACGGCGUACGGAGUGUGGGGAAUGAAGGAUGGCAGCAUGCCGUGCAUUAAAAGCUGUUUUGGUAGAUCUCAGUGGCACACUUCACAUUGAAGAUGCAGCUGUGCCAGGCGCACAGGAAGCUCUUAAAAGGCAAGCUAUCCUCCAGGUUCAGCUGACAAAUAUGUUUGUUACGUGGUGCUUCUGUAAUCAUUAGGUUUGUGACCAAUACAACCAAAGAGAGCAAGCAAGACCUGUUAGAAAGGUUGAGAAAAUUGGAAUUUGAUAUCUCUGAAGAUGAAAUAUUCACAUCUCUGACUGCAGCCAGAAGUUUACUAGAGCGGAAACAAGUCAGACCCAUGCUGCUAGUUGAUGAUCGGGCACUACCUGAUUUCAAAGGUAGGGGAAAUUUGGAAAAUUUAAAGAUUGGAUAUUUAUAUGUACUUACAAAUCAUUUUUAAAACUGGAUGUUUAGA
RNAcentral lists this long non-coding RNA (557 nucleotides) under Homo sapiens (human). Its description in RNAcentral is "non-protein coding lnc-IER3IP1-1:1". Lineage: Eukaryota; Metazoa; Chordata; Mammalia; Primates; Hominidae. The record is from RNAcentral.